GCUAGCUCCAGUGUGACUGAUUUGGUUCUGAGAGUGUCCUAGGCUGUCAUCAAGAGGUCCUGCUAGACCUUAGGAAGUGCUGAGUGGAGACAGAAGAUAAUUAAUUUAAACUCCUUAGUCCAUAGCAUCUCUUCCUGUUCCCCUGGCGCAGUAUCUGAAUGACCUGAACAGUGCACUUUCUUCCGUAGAAAACAGAAGCACAGAUCACCCUAUUUCUGUUCCAAAGGUGGAAGUCAACAGUUCAAAAUUCUUCAGCUGUAAAAUCUUUCUUCACCAUGACCUGGGAAAGCUCCGUAACACCAGCGAUGCACUUACUGCACAGGUUCUUCACCAAAGCAUUUGGAUUCAGACGGCCCUUUACUUCUGACUGAGACUGAAAUGGCUGAUGCCUCUACAAAGGGACUCCGAACCAAAAGAAAUAUCCUCUCUGGACAAAGAAGUGUUCUUUUAUGUUUAGAGGAAUCUUUUAAUACAAGCACCUGAAAUGAUACUUUUCCUCCAGCAAACCCCUGUAAAGGUGGGGAAAGGAUCUUCUGAAACUUAUCGUCUUCCUUCACACCUGAGCUGGUAAGCUCUUUAGUGAGAGAGAGGAGUGUUUCUGGAAGCUCAUAGAGAAAGCCGAGUGUCUGCAGAAAUAACCCUGUACUUUGAAGCAUUUGAAAAUGCAUAAAUAUGUGUGCUCUGACAACAGCUAGAGAGCUGUAAAACUCAAUGAAUAAUUUGUAUCAAAUUAAUUGUUUAGCUCAUAAUUUUGUUAUGUCUUCAUCCUUGUUAAUACCAAACUGAGUUUUGAAGGUUC
This is a long non-coding RNA of Cuculus canorus (common cuckoo), 799 nucleotides long. RefSeq lists it as uncharacterized. NCBI's taxonomy places the organism in Eukaryota, Metazoa, Chordata, Aves, Cuculiformes, Cuculidae. The transcript is spliced from 3 exons. The record is from RefSeq and is a predicted model, not a curated record.